CGCGCCUGGGGAGGUGGUGCCAGGGCCGCUGUUCCUCUGCCUUUGCCAGGCUGGAGGCUCCUGGCCGCUGCUGCGAUCUCCCUCAGUAGAGCAGAGGAUGCCGGUGAGGCACCCGGCGGCGGGCCGCUGGAGAUCGAGUGGAGACUGGAGCUUUGCAGGCUGAAUCCUUGACCACAGGUGGCGGAGCCGCGGCCUGAGGUGGACUCUGAGGCCGCCAGAGCGGGGUGCUGUGCAGGAACCGUUGGCCCCGGGAGUGAAGGAGCACUUGAGGAGGUUUCAGCAGGCCUGGCGCCCAAGCUCCCCGAGUGUGGAUCUAGGGAUUAGGGACUGGGCGCGAUGAGGAGCAGGAGUAACUCGGGAGUCCGCCUGGACGGCUAUGCUAGGCUGGUGCAUCAGACCAUCCUGUGCCAUCAGAAUCCAGUGACAGGCUUGCUUCCGGCAAGCUAUGACCAGAAAGAUGCCUGGGUCCGAGAUAAUGUGUACAGCAUCCUGGCUGUGUGGGGUUUGGGCAUGGCAUAUCGGAAGAAUGCAGACCGUGAUGAGGACAAGGCAAAGGCCUAUGAACUGGAGCAGAGUGUGGUGAAGUUAAUGAGGGGACUGCUGCACUGCAUGAUGAGACAGGUGGAUAAAGUAGAGUCCUUCAAGUAUAGUCAGAGUACUAAAGACAGCCUGCAUGCCAAGUACAACACCAAAACUUGUGCCACUGUAGUGCGUGAUGACGAGUGGGGACACCUGCAGUUGGAUGCUACUUCUGUGUACCUGCUCUUCCUAGCACAGAUGACUGCCUCAGGACUCCAUAUCAUCCACAGCCUAGAUGAAGUCAAUUUUAUACAGAACCUUGUGUUUUACAUUGAAGCUGCAUAUAAAACUGCUGACUUUGGGAUAUGGGAGCGUGGAGACAAGACCAACCAAGGGAUCUCAGAAUUGAAUGCGAGUUCAGUGGGAAUGGCCAAGGCAGCCCUGGAAGUACUAGAUGAAUUAGAUUUGUUUGGUGUGAAAGGUGGGCCGCAAUCAGUCAUUCAUGUCCUGGCCGAUGAAGUACAACACUGCCAGUCGAUCUUAAAUUCCCUACUGCCCCGGGCUUCAACAUCCAAGGAAGUUGAUGCCAGUUUGCUCUCAGUGAUCUCCUUCCCAGCCUUUGCUGUAGAGGACAACCAUUUGGUGGAGCUCACCAAACAGGAGAUCAUUACCAAACUUCAGGGUCGUUAUGGUUGCUGUCGUUUUCUACGAGAUGGAUAUAAAACUCCUAAAGAGGAUCCCAAUCUCCCGUACUAUGAACCAGCUGAGCUGAAGCUAUUUGAAAACAUUGAAUGUGAAUGGCCAUUGUUCUGGACAUACUUUAUCCUUGAUGGGAUCUUCAGUGGCAACACAGAACAGGGAUUUUUAGCUCCUGGAGAAAUUGAUCCCCUGAAUCGUAGGUUUUCUACUGUGCCAAAGCCAGAUGUGGUGGUUCAAGUCUCCAUUCUAGCUGAAACAGAAGAAAUCAAGGCCAUUUUGAAGGAAAAGGGAAUUGAUGUAGAGACCAUUGCUGAGGUCUACCCCAUCAGAGUACAGCCGGCUCGUAUUCUCAGCCACAUUUAUUCCAGUCUUGGAUGCAAUAAUAGAAUGAAACUCAGUGGACGACCCUACAGGCCCAUGGGUGUGCUUGGAACAUCAAAACUCUAUGACAUCCACAAAACUAUCUUUACUUUCACUCCGCAGUUCAUAGACCAGCAACGGUUUUACUUGGCUCUGGACAACCAGAUGAUAGUAGAAAUGCUCAGAACAGAUCUCUCCUACCUCUGUAGCCGCUGGAGGAUGACAGGCCAGCCCACCAUCACUUUCCCCAUCUCACACAGCAUGCUUGAUGAAGGUGGAACCAGCUUGGAUUCAAGUAUGCUGGCCGCACUGCGAAAAAUGCAGGAUGGCUAUUUUGGUGGGGCAAGGAUCCAAACAGGUAAAUUGUCGGAGUUUUUGACAACAUCUUGCUGCACACACUUAAGCUUCAUGGACCCUGGACCUGAGGGUAAGCUGUACAGUGAAGACUAUGAUGAAGACUAUGAUGAUGAGCUGGAAUCUGACAACUGGAUGAAUAGCUAUGAUGCAACGAGUAAUGCUCGCUGUGGUGACGAAGUUGCUCGUUAUUUAGAUCACCUUUUGGCUCGCACUGUUCCCCAUCCUAAACUCUCUACUACCUCCCGGAAGGGAGGGCUAGAUCGGUUCCAAGCUGCUGUGCAAAUGACUUGCGACUUAAUGUCCUUGGUGACUAAUGCCAAGGAGCUGCAUGUACAGAGUGAGUAAUGCCAUUACUCCCUAGUGUCAGACACAAGGUGGCAUGAAGCCCAAGAUGGGGGCAGGACGUUGAUUACACCAUGAGCAGGAGCUUGGUUUUGUUCACUGCUUUGGUCCCGGCCUCUUGGGCAGCACCUGGAAUUUAGCAGGCACUCAAAUCCAUGUGAAAUCAAUGACGUAUAUAUAGUCUUGAUAUGGAUAUUGGCGUUGGUCGGGUAUAACCAGGAAAACAGCAAGACACAGUACAAAAAAUAGCAUAUUCAAUUUUAAUACAAAAGUCAAAUGGGGAGGAAGAGCUUUCUCAUUUGGAAAAAUUACUUCUUUGAGGGUAAUUUUCUUGUUUAAUGAGAAAGCAUGGUCAUUAGAAUAGUAUAAAACAGGAGAGACAGAAAUAGAGACUGACCCUGCUCUUAAGCUACGACUAGAUCUCACUUUAUGGCCGCUGUAACUGUGCACCCGGCUGUUAUCUCGAAUAUAAUAGUCUUUGUUUACAGCAUCGCCACAGUCCUCUCUCUUACCAGCACCUUCCUUAGUAAUGUGUUCAGUGGAGGACCUUUUCUGUACAUUUGAAUAGUAGCCAUGGUUCCUAAGACUGCUCAUUAUUUCUAAGGUCACUACAUGUGGAGGGAGAGAAAGGCUCCUUGGUCACACCUGGACGACUUGAAUAUUACAUUAUACAGGGGAGGAGAAUGAUAGACGCAUGCUCUUGCUACCUAAAUCCUCAUUGACCAUUACUAACCAGAUACUAAAUGUGAGCACUAGGGAGCUGUUUAAAAUUGAGAACAGGGAAAAGCUUGGUAUACCCUUUGGUUAUGCUCCUUACAGAAAGGGUUUAUGCAAGGACACGAACUUUAGUAAGUUUAGUAAGUCACAUUUAUCACUUGUGAAUCAGGAAACCAGAUUUUAAUUCCAAGAACUGUAAUUUACUUGCUUGACCACUUAUCUGAGCCCUGUAUAAAAUGGGUAAAAUAGGCUGGAGAGAUGGCUCUGCCAUUAAAGGCUAGGCUCACAACCAAAGAUAAAAUGGUGAAAAUUAUAUGCUGGUUCUCCUUAGAGGUUAUGGUAAGUAUUUCAGCUAUGUAAGUGAAACAUCUUAGGACCUUCUCAAAGUUGAUCAGCUCCUACAUGUUUUUUGGUUCUCUAAAUAGGAUCAUCCAGCUCCAGUCUCUAGAAAUCAAAUAUUCACCCACGAAAACCCAGGAAAAGUAAGAUGUAACUGAGUUCCUUCUCUUAUGUGUUUUGUUAUAUGAUGAUAUCAGUGAUAGCAUCAUUGUGAUAGUGAUAAUGUUAGUAAAUAUAUAUCAUAUGUCUGGUUGAUGGUGCAGUUACCGAAAAUCCUUUCAAAAAUAUAAAAAUGUUCAUUGAUUAAUUUGUUGUUGUUUUGAGACAGCGUUUCUCUGUGUAACAGCCCUAGCUGUCCUGGAACUCGCCCUGUAUUGUAAGCUGGCCUCUAACUCGCAGAGAUCCACCUGCCUGUGACCCCCCCAUCACCACCACCUGGCAAAUAAUCGGAUAUUUUUCAAAUUAUCUAAUAUCCACAUUUCUUCUACUGAUAUCGAUGAAGGAAAAUGUCAUCACUUUUGUUCUAAAAACUGCCCCAUGUGUCAGUUUAUUGCUGAGGUCAAUCGUGUAUCUUAUUAAUUUCCUGCUUAUGUUAACUUUUCCCAUGAAUGCCAACUUCUUGCAGAUGUGCACAUGUAUCUUCCUACAAAGUUAUUUCAGCCUUCUCGCCCUUCUCUCAGCUUGCUUGACUCACCUCAGUCUCCACAAGAUAACCAGACCAGUCUGGGGAAGUGGACUUCCAGUUACUGGUUUCCAAGUUGAAGGAGACC
This is an RNA transcript of Meriones unguiculatus (Mongolian gerbil), 4103 nucleotides long. It is a transcript of the gene named phosphorylase b kinase regulatory subunit alpha, skeletal muscle isoform-like, with no coding region annotated. NCBI's taxonomy places the organism in Eukaryota, Metazoa, Chordata, Mammalia, Rodentia, Muridae. The transcript has 18 exons. The record is from RefSeq and is a predicted model, not a curated record.